CCCCGCCCCAGGGCGGUGCGACUCCGCGGGCGAGCGAGGGGCGGGGCUCGUAGCGGGGAACUCCCCUUCCCAGGCCCAGGCAAGUCCGUGCGUCUGCGAGGCGCGGUGGUCGGGUAGUGGACCCUGGUCCUGUGGCCCCGGUUACUGACCGCGUCGUGCGGCCGCCAUCUUGCCGGCGUGUGGACCACCCCCGUCGGGAGGGGCUGCGACUAGGCCGGAAGCGGGAGUACGAGGCAGCGCUGCCUGCCAGGUCGUGCUGUUAUAGAUGUUCUGGUGAGGAACACAGAAUCAUCAUCAUGGCUUUCCUUUGCUCAGAAACCAUUGAUGGGAAGUGAGUGCUUGUUAUACUUGAAGCAGAUUUUCAUUGAAUGGACCUAACUGCGCUCUUUGAGAUCAUCAGUAAGCAUGAGUGGUACCAAACCUGAUAUAUUGUGGGCACCACACCAGGUUGAUAGAUUUGUUGUAUGUGACUCAGAACUUAGCCUUUAUCACGUGGAAUCUACUGUGAAUUCAGAAUUCAAAGCUGGAUCUCUACGUUUAUCUGAAGACUCUGCAGCUACGUUACUCUCAAUAAAUUCAGAAACACCCUAUAUGAAAUGUGUUGCCUGGUAUCUCAAUUAUGAUCCUGAAUGUCUCCUAGCAGUUGGACAAGCAAAUGGUAGAGUUGUACUUACAAGUCUUGGUCAAGAUCAUAACUCAAAGUUCAAAGAUUUGAUAGGAAAAGAGUUUGUUCCAAAACAUGCACGACAAUGCAAUACUCUUGCAUGGAAUCCAUUGGAUAGUAACUGGCUUGCUGCUGGUCUAGAUAAACAUAGAGCUGACUUUUCAGUGCUGAUUUGGGACAUCUGCAGCAAAUACACGCCUGAUAUAGUUCCCAUGGAGAAAGUAAGACUUUCGGCAGGUGAAACUGAAACAACAUUGUUAGUAACAAAACCACUUUAUGAAUUAGGACAGAAUGAUGCUUGUCUCUCUCUUUGUUGGCUUCCACGAGACCAGAAACUUCUCCUUGCUGGUAUGCAUCGUAACCUAGCCAUUUUUGAUCUUCGGAAUACAAGCCAAAAGAUGUUUGUGAAUACAAAAGCUGUUCAGGGCGUGACAGUAGACCCAUACUUCCAUGAUCGUGUUGCUUCCUUUUAUGAAGGUCAGGUUGCAAUAUGGGAUCUUAGGAAAUUUGAGAAGCCAGUUUUGACUUUGACUGAGCAACCAAAGCCCUUAACAAAAGUAGCAUGGUGUCCAACUAGGACUGGUCUGCUUGCCACUUUAACAAGGGAUAGUAAUAUUAUUAGAUUAUAUGAUAUGCAGCACACACCCACUCCCAUUGGAGAUGAAACUGAACCCACAAUAAUUGAAAGAAGUGUGCAACCUUGUGACAAUUACAUUGCCUCCUUUGCUUGGCAUCCAACAAGUCAAAAUCGAAUGAUAGUUGUAACUCCCAAUCGAACAAUGUCUGACUUCACUGUUUUUGAAAGAAUCUCUCUUGCCUGGAGCCCAAUUACAUCUUUAAUGUGGGCUUGUGGUCGUCAUUUAUAUGAAUGUGCGGAAGAAGAAAAUGAUAAUUCUUUAGAAAAAGAUAUAGCAACGAAGAUGCGCCUUCGGGCUUUAUCAAGGUACGGACUUGAUACAGAACAGGUGUGGAGAAACCAUAUUUUAGCGGGAAAUGAAGAUCCACAGCUCAAGUCACUCUGGUAUACUCUGCACUUUAUGAAGCAGUAUACAGAAGAUAUGGAUCAGAAAUCUCCAGGCAACAAAGGAUCAUUGGUUUAUUCAGGAAUUAAAUCAAUUGUAAAAUCAUCUUUGGGAAUGGUAGAAAGCAGCAGACAUAAUUGGAGUGGGUUGGAUAAGCAAACUGAUAUUCAGAAUUUAAAUGAAGAGAGAAUCUUAGCUUUACAGCUUUGUGGGUGGAUAAAGAAAGGAACGGAUGUCGACGUGGGGCCAUUUUUGAACUCCCUUGUACAAGAAGGGGAAUGGGAGAGAGCUGCCGCUGUGGCAUUGUUCAACUUGGAUAUUCGACGAGCAAUCCAGAUCCUGAAUGAAGGGGCAUCUUCAGAAAAAGGUGAUCUGAAUCUUAAUGUGGUAGCAAUGGCUUUAUCGGGUUAUACAGAUGAGAAGAACUCACUUUGGAGAGAAAUGUGCAGCACUUUACGAUUACAGUUAAACAACCCGUAUCUGUGUGUCAUGUUUGCAUUUCUGACAAGUGAAACAGGAUCUUAUGAUGGAGUAUUGUAUGAAAACAAAGUUGCGGUACGUGACAGAGUGGCAUUUGCUUGUAAAUUUCUUAGUGAUAGUCAGUUAAAUAGGUACAUCGAAAAGUUGACCAAUGAAAUGAAAGAGGCUGGAAAUUUGGAAGGAAUACUGCUUACAGGCCUUACUAAAGAUGGAGUGGACUUAAUGGAGAGUUAUGUUGACCGAACUGGAGAUGUACAAACAGCAAGUUACUGCAUGUUACAGGGCUCUCCCUUAGAUGUUCUUAAAGAUGAAAGAGUUCAGUACUGGAUUGAGAAUUAUAGAAAUUUAUUAGAUGCCUGGAGGUUUUGGCACAAACGAGCUGAAUUUGAUAUUCACAGGAGUAAGUUGGAUCCCAGUUCUAAGCCUUUAGCACAGGUGUUUGUGAGUUGCAAUUUUUGUGGAAAGUCUAUCUCCUACAGCUGCUCAACUGUGCCCCAUCAGGGCAGAGGUUUUAGUCAGUAUGGUGUCAGUGGCUCACCAACAAAAUCUAAAGUCACAAGUUGCCCUGGCUGUCGAAAACCCCUUCCUCGAUGUGCACUUUGCCUCAUCAAUAUGGGAACACCUGUUUCUAGUUGUCCUGGAGGCUCCAAAUCAGAUGAAAAAGUAGACUUGAGCAAAGACAAAAAAUUAGCUCAGUUUAACAACUGGUUUACAUGGUGUCACAAUUGCAGACACGGUGGGCAUGCUGGACACAUGCUUAGUUGGUUCAGGGAUCAUGCCGAGUGUCCUGUGUCUGCAUGCACGUGUAAAUGUAUGCAGUUGGAUACAACAGGGAAUCUGGUACCUGCAGAGACUGUCCAGCCAUAAAAUGUUAUCCCCUAAAGAGGAACCUUCAAGUGUGGAGCUUUCUGAUAGAUGUCCUUCAUAGCUCAGAAACAUACCUCAGAACAAGUCACUCAUGACUUUCCUGUAAUGGGAAAAUAAAUCAUUCUAUCAAAUCACCAAUUUGAUGUUUGAGUGAUUUUGAUGUACUUCACAGAGACAAAUGCUGCUGAAAUGAACAGAGUGUGGGCAUGAAUUCUGUUCAGUAGGUUGGAAAAGUUCAUUUUGGAAAGAACUUUUUAGGGUUUUGUUGAAAUUAUGAACACUGUGCAAACAGAGUUUCUGGAGUGACCAAGAACAGACCUUGGAACCAUACUUUUUAUGUUGCAAUUGGUUAUCUUUCAGUAAAAUCUGUACACUUUUAAAAUAGAAUAAUAUGCCCAAUUCAGUGAUUCAGACCGUAGUUUAAGCUUACUCAUGCUUAGAUUCCUUCCAGAUUAAAUUUAAAUUGUGGAUUUUUACUUUUAGAAUUAGAAAGCCCCCUACCCUACACUGGAGAAUUAUUUAUCAAGGUAUGAUUGAUAUAUAUUUUUUUAAGGAGUCUCUUCUCUCAUACACUUUCAUUUUAAGAUAAGAAAUCUUUUGGCACAGACAUUUAUUGUCUUCCAAAGAAAAGUCAAAAUUAAGAAUGUAUCUUACAACUUUUUCUCUUCUGAGGAGAAAAAUAUGCACCAUUUCAAGGAAACGUAUAAAAUUUUCCUUUUCAAUCUUUUGCUUUCCAAUGUCCUUAUUUGUCUUCAAAGAUUUCUGUCCUUGUUAAUUUAUCAUCUUAUGCUCAUCAUCUGGAAGCAUUUGGCUGAAUACAAAGUGUAUACAAGUCUAUAUGUGACCAACCAUUCAGCAUAAUCUACGUCACUAUGUCCUACUGUCGGAUUUCCUCUUGCAGAAUAUCCUGUUUUUUCUAAGGUAGACUUUGAGAUGUUGGGGAAACCAGAGUCACUUUGGAGAUAAUUUCACCUUUAAUGUAAGUUUCUUAAAGUAAGUAUAUUUGGGCCAAUUUAGGGACUUUAUUUUCAAAUUUUAUUUUUUCCCUUUUCACAGCUAGAUAGUUGGAAGAGAAAUACAAAGGAUUUGUAGCAUCAUCUGACAUAUGCAGAGGACUGAACUGAAUUUCAUAGUUGAAGUUGUACUUAUAGAAAAAUAAAAAGCCUAAAAAUUAUCUUACAGAUUUUGAAGAAAGAAAUAUCUUAAACAAGAAUUUUAGAAGCUUUCACGUUAGCAGUUUUACCUGGUGAAACUAAGAUCUGUUAGAUUAAUUUGAGGUAUGACUUAAAUCCUGAACAAAGGUGGAUUAAAUUUAUUUUUUACUUUGAGAUCUAUUACAAAAGUCUCUUUUCUAGGAAAACAUUGCAUAUCUACUCUAAACAUCUCAUCUAGAUGACAAUCUUUUGUUUAAAAGAAAGAACUGGGAAUAGUUACAAUCUUUUUUUUUUUUUUUAAACAAAGAUUGUUAUUAAGGGGACUUUUUCCAGUCUUCUAAGUAAAUCUUACUGAUUUCAUUUUACUAAAACAUAACCUUUACCUUUAAAGUUGCUUCAGUUGAAGUGUUUCUUUCAAAUUUGCUCUGUCCAAAAUAUGAAAAGUCAGCUUUAGUGUCAAACUGUUAUAUACAUUUUCAUUUCUCCUUAGCUAAAGUAAGGUAAAUUUUUGAAUUGAUGUUUAGAAUAGGGUUAUAUCUAAAAUACUUACAAUUUUUGGAAGUACAAUAUAAGACAUAAGCAUAAAGUCUAUUAUAUAAUCUGCUUGUAAUCACAGGAUGACAUUUUUAAGAAUAACUUUAUGCCUGUGUCAGCCUUCUAAUAUUUUCUGUGAAACCCAAAUAUUCAUAUAAGAUGUCUAUUAUGCUUGUUUUGCAUUUUAUUGUAUGUGGAACAUGAAAAUAGACUAAUUUUUUCAUUUUUAUUACUUGGUCACUAAUAUUUGGGUUUAUAAACUCAACAAGAUAUUUUACCUAAACAUGUUCAAUAGAAGUGUUUAAUAAAAAUGUUUUAUUAUUUUUUUAAAUUGAAUAAAAAUGGAUUGAAGUCAACAUGUCUAAUCUAGAAAUUAUCUAUGACCACUCUGCAAAUAAUCCAAUAAAAUAAUAAAAUAGUAGUUAUUUUGAUGGCAAAUUUGAUUCUUAGUCUUAGAAGUAACUUUUUUGUAGACUCUGUUUUUCAGCUUUCCAGAAUGGUUAUUAUUCAUUAAAAUGGUAUAUUUAAAAAGUAUCUUUCCAUUGUCAGUGCUACACCCAGUAAGUAUUAGAGUGAGAAACAAAUAGUCCUGCAUUUAAUUGCAUGGCUGGAUGUAAUUUCAGUCACUUAUUUGACUGCAGAUAUUCAAAGUAUGGGUUUUGAAAUUUAAAUUAUAAUCCUAGUCCCAGUAUCUUGGCCAAUUGGCUUGACCUUUUUGAGCUUCAAUUUCCUAAUAUGUUAAAAGGUAUAGAAAUUCCUACCUCAUAGGGUGAUUGGGCGUGUUAGGUGAUGAAAUAAACAUGAAGUGUUAUAUCCGUCGCAUAAUGCUCUGUAAAAGGUAGUGCUUAACAGUCAUUGUUACCUAAUCUUUAUUGGUUACUCAUGUGUCAGCACUUUUUAAUUGAAUAUGGUAUAAUUUAAACAAAGUAUGCACAUUUGUCUCAGUAGUGAAAAUUUCCCAAAUCUGGAUAAAUUAUGGCAUUUUCUUUUGAGAUAGAACUUAGCUACUUUUGUUUAUCCUGUAUUUAGAAUAUUACUUUCUGCUGUAUGAAGAAGUCCUCUGAACAACCACCUAGGAUUUUAAUGUGAUACAAGAGUGAACCCAGGGAUGAAAAUUAAAAUUUUGGUAAAUCUGGACAGUUGACCAGUAACCAUUGAAAACUUGAACUUUUCAUAUCUAUAUUCAACUCUUAAGUCCUGGCCUUCAUAGGAGAAAAUAUCCAGUAUUUUCCCAGUAAAAUCCUUCCUUUUCUGCCAUUCUGUUACACUUGAUGUUCAUUUAAGUAAAAAUGUUGGGGGGAUGGUGAUAAUAAAAAAGGAAGUACACUGUGAGGUUUGUUCUCGUUCGGGAUAGCUGUAGUUAAGACAAGUGGGCACUAAGUAGUUGUACACGUCUAACAUCUGCUCAGAGGUGUCAGAGAGAGGGGAGAGGCAUUUUAGGUGUUAGUUCAACAUCCUUGUAUAGAGGGCCUGUGACCCCCAUGGCCAUGGCAGAGAUGGGGCUAGCUGGACAACUGCUCAUCUAGCCACUACUCUCCCAUUACAUCAUCUGCCUAUUCUUCCCUCCUCGAAAAUUUUGUAGGUUUCUUUACUGAUUAUAGAAAGCACUUUAUGAAAAUAUUAAUCUUUAUAAAGUAUUAAUUUUUUACUAGAGUAUAUAGACAGAAGGAAAGUUCCCGAAAUGUUUUUAAAAGAUAGCGUAAUCCAGGUAUCAGAUUAACAUAGAUUGCCAAAACAAAGAACUGAUUUCAUUUAGGAAUAUUCAUGAUAAAUUCAUAAGUAAAGUCAAUAUCUAAUCCAACAGUAUAUUACUGAGAACAGUAGUUACUGUUGAUGCUUAUUAUUUGCCAGGUACCAUGCACAUUAUCCUGUUUAAUCCUCACUGUAGCCCUGUGAGGCAGAUACACUAUUACUGCUCCCAUUCUAUACAUGCUGCAAUUAAGGCAUAGGGACAUUAGGUCACUUGUCCUAGGCUAUACAGCUAAUAAAUAGCAGAGCCAACUUAGACUCCAGUAGUCUGACUUCCCAAUCUGUACUUUUAAUUACUGUUUUAUACUUCCACAUCCUACUUUAUGGACUGUGUAUAGGAGAAUAAUUCACUAUGACAAUUGAGGGUUUAUUAUAUUUAGUAUUAAUACACCAAAAGAGAAAAAAACAUGUCAGUGGCUCUUUGGAUGUAAAAAGCAGUUGAUAAAAUCCAAAAAUUGAUUCCUGAUUUGUUCUUUAGAUUUAGUUUUUAUCAUGAAAAGGAAAUGUUUUUCCUUCAUUUUUUUCCCCUUCUAUUUUACUGUCUGUCUCAAACAGCCAGCAUCAACGCAGUGGGGAAAUAAUAGGAAUAAAACAAGGAUCAAGUGGUUACCAUUGGUUCUGCACGUAGCAGUGCAGAAGAGGAAAGUGGAGGGAGGCACACCCUUGCUUCUCUUCCAAGUCUUUAAAGUUUGGUAUGGCAAAAAUACCAUGAAGAGUUAAAAGGCAAGCAAACUGGUAAGCUACAACAUGCAUACAAAUUUAAUACCCUUAAUUCACAAAGAACGUUCUGAAACCCAUAAGGAAAAGACACAACCAAUGGAUAAUAUUGAUCAAGGACUUGUACAGCCAAAAUAAAAUGGCCAACAAACAUAAAUAAAUGUUAAAUUGGUAAUAAAGUAAUGCUGAUUAAAAUGACAGCAGGAUACUGUUCACUUGCCUGUGUAAAUUAAAAGGAAUAAUAUGUAUUUUCAUGGAUAUGGGAAAGGAACAUUCUCAAAUAACAACUUGUGAGAGUGUUAUUAGUACAAGUGUUCCUGAGGACAGUGAGUAAUAUGUAUCAAAAGCCUUAAAAAGCUUCAUACCCUUUGACAUAGUAUAUUGGAAAUAUUUUCUGAGGGAUUAAUUGGAUAAGUACACAAAGGUGUAUGUUUCUAUGAAAUGGUUAUCACAGUAUUUUUUAUAAUAACUUGGAAGCCUAAAUGUUCAAUAAUAAGAGUAAAGAAAUUGUCACAUACAUACAAUGGAAUACUAACUAUUCAAAUAGUAUGGGUAUUUUUAUUGACAAAGGACGAUUCAUGAUAUAUUUAUAAAUGGAGGGAAAGGCAAGUUAUAGGAUAGUAUAUAUAGAAUAUAUUUGUAUGGAACACUAUUGGAGAAUAUAAAAUUUUAACAGUGGCCAUUUUUCAAGAAUAGAAUUUUUUUUUAAUUUAUUUAUUUAUUUAUGGCUGUGUUGGGUCUUCGUUUCUGUGCGAGGGCUUUCUCUAGUUGCGGCAAGUGGGGGCCACUCUUAAUCGCGGUGCGCGGGCCUCUCACUAUCACGGCCUCUCUUGUUGCGGAGCACAGGCUCCAGACGCGCAGGCUCAGUAAUUGUGGCUCACGGGCCUAGUUGCUCCACGGCAUGUAGGAUCUUCCCAGACCAGGGCUCGAACCCGUGUCCCCUGCAUUGGCAGGCAGAUUCUCAACCACUGUGCCACCAGGGAAGCCCAAGAAUAGAAUUUUAAGUGGCAUUUUUCUUAUCUGCAUCUUCUAGUUUUUCUACAAUAAUGAUGAAUGUAUAAAUAAAUGAAUAUGCAUAUCACACACACGUUAGUGGCUUUUAUAAAAGUUACCCAUGACCUGUUAUCUUGUUCUUACCAUAAUGAACAAUCAAAUAAUUAUGAGGUGAAGAAACUUGCUAUAAGGUAUUAUGAAAAUUAUUACUGAGAUUUAAUUAUUUGGAAAGCAUUUUUCUAGAUUUCAUAUUCUACAGUAAUAUAUAAGAAUAAUAAACAGAUGUGGUUCUUUCUCUUAAUUGUCUCUUUUGUCAUAUUUGGAAACAGUGCAUUUUGUUCUCCAUUUAACACAUUGGGAAAUGGAUCUAUAAAAUAGUUCUGAUAUUCCUGAGGUAGUAUUACAUAAUUAAUGACUUUGUUUCAAUCUUCUCUUUCCUAGAUGUUCCUCAGGAUAUUUUCUGACUCCUCUGUUUUGGCUCUGCGCCUGUGGCAGGACACCUGUCCUCUGUGUUUAGAAUUUAGUUAAUUAUUGUCCAAUGCAGUGUAGAGUGCAUUUUACUCAACUCAUUUCCAAUAAUUUAACAAGCUACUUAUGUUUAAGUGAUGAAUUCUGAACAUGCCUGCAUGUCCAUGCUUCCAUCAAAGAACCAAGCAUUAGCGUGCCUACAUGCGCCAGACAUUUAAGGUUAUGAUUUCAAAGGAUUGAUGGCACCAUCUUUACCUUGGAGGAGCUGUAAUAUCUAAUGGAAGAGGUAGACAUGAGCAUUGUUUUCAGAUUCAAAUUCACUCAGAUUAAUAUUUAUAAUUGCUGGAAAGAGUAUCAUUAUAGCAUCUUGUCUCUUUCUGCAGCCAAAAAAAAAGUCAGUUUAUUUUAUUUAAUUUUCUAAUUUUGGACUUUCAAAAAUUAUUUUCUAAUUAGAAAUAAUUUGAGGAAGUAGAGGUUGCCCAUUACAUUUUUCAGACGUGUAAUUUUCUAACAACAUUGUAAAGCAACUGUACUCCAAUAAAAAUUAAUUAAAAAAAUGUAAUUUUCUUACUGAUCUACUGUUAAUAAUACAAUGUUUUGAAAGGCUUUGCUAAGAAGGUAACUUUAGGAUUAAAGGAUAAUUUAUGUAAUGUCAGAAAUAGCAGCAAUAAUAGUAAUUCAGUGCAUACAAUCCUUUCACCAUUCAGUUUAUGAAAAGCAUGUUGCCUUAAUUUCAUAACUGGAAAUUAAGAUAUAGGAAUCUAAUUAGUUGGGCUCUUAAAAUAUAAAGACGAGUAGUCUGGAAGAGCAUUUGAAGGGAUUAAUGUAUCAUAAACUUCAAACAGGCAUUUUCGUAAGAAAUCAUGCAAAUGAUUUGAUCUUACAUCUUUUAACUUAAAGAAUAUUAACUCCACUUAUAUGUAUACAUACGUAUGUACAUGGGGAGGGAGGGUGAGCCAGGGUGUGGGGGACGUGUAUGCAAGAAAGCCUGGAGUUUGAAAGAGCAAAUGUCAAAAUUCAUGUUUGUCCACAUUUUAUUAUAUUGCAGCCAUAUACUUUGCUGGUGACAGUUCAAGAAGUUGCCACUGCCAGACAUGUGCAUUCACCUACAGUACCCCAUCAGCAACUGAACACUUUCAUCUCUGGGGAUAAAUGAUUAAUGAGUUGUCUAUCAUUUCCACUACCUUUUGUACCAAGUUGGUAGAGGCUUCAGUUGAUCAUAUUGCAGCCAUCAGCAUCAUUACUGAAAUUGAUUCUGCCAUGGGAGGGUUAUGCUAGGACAAUAGAUUAGCAUUUAAAUAAACGAACUAAUUUAUGGCAUUAAAAAUUACAUAAAAUAAUCCCUCUGAGUCACUCUGUCGCACCUGGUAAGGUUGUUUUGUUUUGUUUUUGCUGAUUAGCUACCAUCAUAAAACCUUAGGUUGAGGAAAGAAGGAUGGAAGGCAUAGAAGUUGAGUUGUUCUUGUUUUGAGUACAACCCUCUAAGAUUUCCAAACUUCCCACUCUCUUUAUUAAUCACUGUCAUGUAUAUGAAAUACACUUAUGAAAUUACACAACUUGCAUGCAAUGAUGAACAGUAAACUUGCAAAAUCAUUGCCUUUAGAGAAAAAGUAAAGGGGUAAACACAUUUUUGAAAGGCCAGAAUUAGUCCAGAAAGGAAAGUAGUUGGAGGAUUGAGAUUGACAAAUGAUACUCAGAUACAGUGAAAUGAAACUUUUCUAAUUUUUCAGCAAGCAGAUGUGAGAAUGAGGAGAUAAGAACAUCACAAUUUAGAUGUCUUGGUGAUGUGGGCUGCAUUUCUAAAACAGAUGGUGGAGAAUGAGGGUCUGCAUAGGCCUAGAAAAAAGUGAUAGGUUGUAGUUUUGGUAAAGUGUUAUACUCAAGGAAAAUAACUGGAACUUAGAACUUCUAUUUUAGCAUCUCUUUCUGCUCCUGGGAUAACUGCCUGAGAGUUGUCAAUAUUACUGAACUUAAACUUCCCCUCAGUUACUUUUGUGUUCCAGCAUAUGACUCUUUUGUCCAUUCCUCUUAUAUUUUCCCAUUUUUUCCUGUCUGCUCUCUUCUGAAUUUCAUGAGACCAACUGUUUAAUCUACUUCUGAAUUAAGACAACUACCUGAAAUUAUAUUGGUCAAAGUGCAUGUGCAUUUUCUUCAGAGCUGAGACUGGUUGUACAGUGAAAUGGAGCCAUCAUAGGUUUUUCUCAAUCCAGCUGCUUCUGCCCUAUAUUGAUUAAGAUUCUUUCCAGAUUCUAGUAGUGAGGCUGUGGGUGAUGGCAUUGUUAGUUUUCAUCUUUUUUCUGGUAUGUGUAUAUUUUAAGAAGCUAGAAGAGGCGGCUUUGAGUACUGCUAAGUAGAGGACAUGUUUACCCAACAGUGAUAUAAAUAACUGAGACUUGUAUUCUGGAAAGUGGGCAGAAUAUGAUUUCAGUAAGAGGGAACAUUGUUGUGAUAUGGGAAAAACCAAACCAGACCAAACCAAACAAAACAUGGGAAUGCGAAUUCUACAAGUGGCCCAGUAACAAACUUCCUUUAUAUGUUAAAAUUCCCCAAUGACAAAUGACUCUUUUCAGUCACAGUGAGAUGAACAGGUUAGGCUAAGAUGUGCUCGAUCUGGAGAUGAGCGAGUGACUAUGCCCUUCUUUACCCUCGACACAAGUCGCUAAUCAAUUACGCUCUUUUUCUCAGAACCUUUUUCCGCAUUGUAUUGGAGGCAGCAACUACCAGCUAGUCAGCAUUCACCUGUUUGCCAUUUUUAGCCCUAAAAUUUGGUAUGCCCUGACCAUUUUUUACUAAAAUGCGUGGGGAUUAAAACUCUAACAAUUCAUGAUUUUAAGUAUUUCAUGAGUCAUUUUUGUCUGUAUACUGAGUCUGUCUAAGUAGAAAUUACCUAUUUCCAAGUUGUAAUAUAUGGUAUAUAUAAUUGUAGUAUAUUGUUACAAUUAUAUAUAUAAUACAUAAAUAUAAUACAUUGUAUAUAAAUAAUAUUGUAUAAAUGUUGUACAGUGUUUGUUAUACAAUAUUAUUUUGCGAUGUAUAUUGUAAUAUGUUGUAAUAUAUUCAAGCCUUAUUUGAAUAAAACUCUUAUUUGCA
RNA transcript from Globicephala melas (long-finned pilot whale), 11738 nucleotides. It is a transcript of the gene named meiosis regulator for oocyte development, with no coding region annotated. The record is from RefSeq and is a predicted model, not a curated record. NCBI's taxonomy places the organism in Eukaryota, Metazoa, Chordata, Mammalia, Artiodactyla, Delphinidae.